This 1148-nucleotide long non-coding RNA is filed under the name Citrus maxima (pomelo). RNAcentral's name for it is "long non-coding RNA (CMAX_LNC000219)". The record is from RNAcentral. Lineage: Eukaryota; Viridiplantae; Streptophyta; Magnoliopsida; Sapindales; Rutaceae.
AUUUGUAUAGCUCAAAAUUAAUGUUUGAAUUUCACAGGAAAAAUAUCAUGGGACAUUUGACUUUAUCUUUGUUGAUGCUGAUAAGAAUAACUACAUUAACUACCACAAGAGGAUUAUUGAACUUGUGUAGGUUGGGGGAGUGAUUGGCUACGACAACACGCUGUGGUAUGGAUCUGUAGCUGCACCACCUGACGCAAAAAUGGAUGAGAGAAUCAGAUAUAACAGGGACUUUGUGUUGGAAUUGAACAAGGCUCUCGCUAUUGAUCCACGGAUCGAGAUUUGCCAACUCUCUAUUGCUGAUGGGGUUACAUUAUGUCGCCGCAUUAGUUGAUCGUUAUUUUAUCCAUUGUAUUUUUCAAAAUUAUCUUUCAACUCUGCUCAAUGAAUAAGCAAUUAAGUAGGUGUUUGGAAAACUUGCAUUUUUCUAAAUUUUAAAAAUAAAUUACUAAAUUUUAUCAUUAGAUAAACUGAAUUGUUCUAAAAUAAGUUGUCACGCAUAGGGAUGGCAAUGGGCACCGCCCGCAGUGGGUUUGCCAUUACCAAACCCAAACCUGCACAAAAUUUAAAUUACCAAACCCACCCGCAACCCGCAGCGGGUUUUAAUUGAAAAGGCUGGUAUUGCUCACAAGAUUGACUUCAAUAGAGAAUACUACGAACUCGGUCUCCCCAUAAUUGAAAAGGCUGGUAUUGCUCACAAGAUUGACUUCAGAGAAGGCCUAGCUCUCCCUCUUCUCGAUCAAAUGAUCCAAGACGUAAGCACAAAUUCCUCGUAUAAGAUUGUUUAGUAUAUAGAAGAUUAGAGCUGUAAUUGAUUUGUAUAGCUCAAAAUUAAUGUUUGAAUUUCACAGGAAAAAUAUCAUGGGACAUUUGACUUUAUCUUUGUUGAUGCUGAUAAGAAUAACUACAUUAACUACCACAAGAGGAUUAUUGAACUUGUGUAGGUUGGGGGAGUGAUUGGCUACGACAACACGCUGUGGUAUGGAUCUGUAGUUGCACCACCUGACGCAAAAAUGGAUGAGAGAAUCAGAUAUAACAGGGACUUUGUGUUGGAAUUGAACAAGGCUCUCGCUAUUGAUCCACGGAUCGAGAUUUGCCAACUCUCUAUUGCUGAUGGGGUUACAUUAUGUCGCCGCAUUAGUUGAUCGUUA